Molecule: long non-coding RNA, 550 nt
Organism: Frieseomelitta varia
Lineage: Eukaryota; Metazoa; Arthropoda; Insecta; Hymenoptera; Apidae
Exons: 3
Source: RefSeq, a predicted model, not a curated record
UUAACCGAAACGUAUCGUAUGUUAGAAUUCGUGCGUCUCCCAUUAAAUUAACAAUAUCGAUUCUCAGCUACGUGAACGAAGAAGGUGGAUGAUGUUACAAUACUAAAUAAGAAUUAGGUUUGGAGAAGAAAUCUUUUCAUGAACAAAGAAAACGUUUGCAUGUGUACAACAAAGACAAAAUCUAAAUACUAAAUUUAUCUAAAUAGUAGAAAGAAGAAUGAAGCAAUAAUUUCUAAGACAAAGUAUUUCGCUAUGAAACAGCAGUUAAUUUGAUGCAUGAAAGUAGCCUGAAUAAGAUUUUAUAAAAGCACGUCGAGGUAACAAUAUCUAAAAAGAAUGCUGAAUGAUCGUCAAAGAUAUAUACGAUAGUUAUUCCGUUAUUCAUUGAACUGAUCAAAUCAGGCAUGUUCAAACAAUAUACAUAAAUAAUUACAAACAAUAAUGCUAAUAUGAAAUUGACCACAAAAUUGUUCAUGUGAGUAGAAGCUAUGGGUGAAGAAGUGAAGAAUUACGGAAACAAAUUACAGACUAAAUUUGCUUGAAUUACAAA